AUGGUCUUUAGGGUCCCUUCCAAGCCCAAGCACCCAGGGAUUCCAUCAUUCUAUGGUCUCCGUUGUCCUCUUCAGCCUGGGCCUGAACUCCUGGCGGUGAUGUCACAGUUCACGCUCCAGCUAGAACUUCCAGCAUCCAGCAACGGCCACGACACAACCCUUGGCUCCUUGUGUCAGCACGCUCUUCACCCUGCUCCAAGGCUACCCCUGUCACCUUGUUGCCACCUGCUCCCUGAUUCCCCCAGCAGUCCCCAAAGCUCGCCAUUGUGUGCAUUUUCUUCUCCAUCCCUGCACGAUGUCUGCAUUUGCUCCAAAGAAGGCUGGCACAGACAGAGAGGAGGAGAUGGAGGUCGAUACACAGACUGAUAGAGAAGAAGCCAUGGAAGUGGAUGGAGAGGAUACUGGAGACGAAGAGAUGGAUGUGGAUAUGUACGAGACAGAGGAAGAGAUGGAGGUGGAAACGAAAAAUUAUAUUGAAGAGAUGGAGAUUGAUGUAAAAGACGAGGAGGAGGACAUGGUGUUGGGAUGAAGACCGAUGCCAGCAGCAGAACAGGCAGGUGCUCCCCACAGGCAGAGUGGGUCCCCUGCUGCCAGCCUGGGGCUGGGCUGGGCCCUCCCUGCUCAGGGACACGCUAGCCCAUGCACUGGAUUCUGCUGGCCAUCCCUGGCCUGGCCUGGGCUUGCUUUGGGCCACACAAGCCCUGUUCCAGUGCCUGGGCCACAGCCCCCAGCCAGGCUCCCUUCUGGCAGCAGAGUCCCACUGGGCCAGUGUCCCAGCCCGGGAGCACAUGGAACUCCCUUCCGUGCCUGACUGCACUGACCGUGCUACUUGUUUUUCUUCCAGGACUGAGGCACAUCCUGGACAGAGAUGCCACCCUGCUGUACAUACGUUUUUACAGUUGUUGUGUUCAGAUAGACGUUUUGGAGUUUGCUUACGUGUUGUGUAAUACGUUUCAUGUCAUUUUGUUAUAUAUGUUCUUAGGUAAAUAGGUUCUAUAGUUCGUUGUUGUUAGCAAUAUUCUUACAAUGUAAAUAUGUUGUGCAGUUCAUCCUUGUUCCUUUUCUUCUACAAAUAAACAUUCUUUGUUUUUCA
Molecule: long non-coding RNA, 1093 nt
Filed under: Cyanistes caeruleus (blue tit)
Lineage: Eukaryota; Metazoa; Chordata; Aves; Passeriformes; Paridae
Description: lncRNA (ENSCCEG00000000556.1)
Source: RNAcentral